AACGCACAUUGCGCCCUCUGGUAUUCCGGAGGGCAUGCCUGUUCGAGCGUCAUUUCAACCCUCAAGCCUAGCUUGGUGUUGGGUCUCGCGCCGGCGCGCCGCCUGUGCGCGCGCCCGGCGGACCCUAAAAUCAGUGGCGGUGCCCAUCCCGGCUCCACGCGCAGUAGUGUUGCUCUCGCGUCCGGAACGUCGGGGAGGGCUGCUGGCCAAGCGAACCCCCCAUUUUUCUCAGGUUGACCUCGGAUCAGGUAGGGAUACCCGCUGAACUUAA
This 271-nucleotide unclassified non-coding RNA is filed under the name uncultured Ascomycota. RNAcentral describes it as "sequence contains ITS2". The stretch from base 1 to 52 matches the Rfam family "5.8S ribosomal RNA", at positions 103 to 154 of the family's 154-position model. Lineage: Eukaryota; Fungi; Ascomycota. The record is from RNAcentral.